GAUCUGUUCACUGUCCGCCAUUAGAUUAGAACAAGAACAGCAUAGAGAUUCCCGAUUAGGGAGUCUUGUUUGUCAUCCUUUAAAUUCUCUUUUCCCUCUUAUAAUUAUUCAAAACAUCAAAGAGAAAGAGGAACAAAAAGGGGAAAUUCCUCCAUUAGAUACAGAAGUUUGUUAUUAGGGUUUCUUUCUUUCUGCGUCGUAUUCUU
This 206-nucleotide unclassified non-coding RNA is filed under the name Hevea brasiliensis (rubber tree). Lineage: Eukaryota; Viridiplantae; Streptophyta; Magnoliopsida; Malpighiales; Euphorbiaceae. The record is from RNAcentral.